Molecule: ribosomal RNA, 524 nt
Filed under: uncultured bacterium
Lineage: Bacteria
Description: partial 16S ribosomal RNA
Rfam family: Bacterial small subunit ribosomal RNA
Source: RNAcentral
UGGGGAAUAUUGCACGAUGGGCGAAAGCCUGAUGCAGCAACGCCGCGUGAGUGAUGAAGGCCUUCGGGUUGUAAAGCUCUGUCUUUUGGGACGAUAAUGACGGUACCAAAGGAGGAAGCCACGGCUAACUACGUGCCAGCAGCCGCGGUAAUACGUAGGUGGCAAGCGUUGUCCGGAUUUACUGGGCGUAAAGGAUGCGUAGGCGGAUUUUUAAGUGAGAUGUGAAAACCCUAAGCUUAACUUGGGGACUGCAUUUCAUACUGGAAAUCUAGAGUGCGGGAGAGGAGAAUGGAAUUCCUAGUGUAGCGGUGAAAUGCGUAGAGAUUAGGAAGAACACCAGUGGCGAAGGCGAUUCUCUGGACCGUAACUGACGCUGAGGCAUGAAAGCGUGGGUAGCAAACAGGAUUAGAUACCCUGGUAGUCCACGCCGUAAACGAUGAGUACUAGGUGUAGGAGGUAUCGACCCCUUCUGUGCCGCAGUUAACACAAUAAGUACUCCGCCUGGGAAGUACGAUCGCAAGAUU